Molecule: ribosomal RNA, 399 nt
Filed under: Microbacterium esteraromaticum
Lineage: Bacteria; Bacillati; Actinomycetota; Actinomycetes; Micrococcales; Microbacteriaceae
Description: bacterial SSU rRNA
Rfam family: Bacterial small subunit ribosomal RNA
Source: RNAcentral
ACGUAGGGUGCAAGCGUUAUCCGGAAUUAUUGGGCGUAAAGAGCUCGUAGGCGGUCUGUCGCGUCUGCUGUGAAAUCCCGAGGCUCAACCUCGGGCUUGCAGUGGGUACGGGCAGACUAGAGUGCGGUAGGGGAGAUUGGAAUUCCUGGUGUAGCGGUGGAAUGCGCAGAUAUCAGGAGGAACACCGAUGGCGAAGGCAGAUCUCUGGGCCGUAACUGACGCUGAGGAGCGAAAGGGUGGGGAGCAAACAGGCUUAGAUACCCUGGUAGUCCACCCCGUAAACGUUGGGAACUAGUUGUGGGGUCCUUUCCACGGAUUCCGUGACGCAGCUAACGCAUUAAGUUCCCCGCCUGGGGAGUACGGCCGCAAGGCUAAAACUCAAAUGAAUUGACGGUUUUA